Triticum dicoccoides is the source of this 226-nucleotide long non-coding RNA. RefSeq lists it as uncharacterized. The record is from RefSeq and is a predicted model, not a curated record. Lineage: Eukaryota; Viridiplantae; Streptophyta; Magnoliopsida; Poales; Poaceae. The transcript is spliced from 3 exons.
CCGGCCCUCUUCUCCCCCAACUGCAGCGACCCGUGACGCCAGAUUGAAGGAGGCUACCCCGCCGCCGAGGUUGGACCCACCUCAUCAACCCGCCCAGUGAGCACCCGGCUCUCUUUUCCCCAGCGACCGACGACUUUUCGCUCUAGGAAGGGGCUUUGAGAGAUGAAGAGGAAGCCACUCUUGCUAUGUCCAAAGCAAUGGAAAACGGCAAGUACAAUAAUCAAGA